Molecule: long non-coding RNA, 280 nt
Filed under: Mytilus galloprovincialis (Mediterranean mussel)
Lineage: Eukaryota; Metazoa; Mollusca; Bivalvia; Mytilida; Mytilidae
Source: RNAcentral
GUAAAUUAAAUAUUUAUUUACUGAUAAAAAAACGGAAGUCAAAAUCAAAUAUAGUUGUUUAAAAACUUGAUUAAAAUGUAGUGUAAUUGAAAGAAUUAACAACAACGUUUUGCUUUUUAUUUUAAUCUUUCAUUUGUUUCAAGCAAUCAGAUAUAACCUGAUAAUCAAUAGACAUGAAAUACAAUUGUUUAAUUACAUUAGAAAUCUCACAUACCUUGACUGUCGCGUGCCGGCAUAGAUCAGACGGAUUAGGGCAAUUAAUUACCUGGUGUCACACCGC